Molecule: ribosomal RNA, 429 nt
Filed under: Chloroflexota bacterium
Lineage: Bacteria; Bacillati; Chloroflexota
Description: Chloroflexi bacterium partial 16S ribosomal RNA
Rfam family: Bacterial small subunit ribosomal RNA
Source: RNAcentral
UGGGGAAUAUUGCACAAUGGGCGCAAGCCUGAUGCAGCCAUGCCGCGUGUAUGAAGAAGGCCUUCGGGUUGUAAAGUACUUUCAGCGGGGAGGAAGGGAGUAAAGUUAAUACCUUUGCUCAUUGACGUUACCCGCAGAAGAAGCACCGGCUAACUCCGUGCCAGCAGCCGCGGUAAUACGGAGGGUGCAAGCGUUAAUCGGAAUUACUGGGCGUAAAGCGCACGCAGGCGGUUUGUUAAGUCAGAUGUGAAAUCCUCGGGCUCAACCUGGGAACUGCAUCUGAUACUGGCAAGCUUGAGUCUCGGAGAGAGGGGUAGAAUUCCAGGUGUAGCGGUGAAAUGCGUAGAGAUCUGGAGGAAUACCGGUGGCGAAAGCGGCCCCCUGGACGAAGACUGACGCUCAGGUGCGAAAGCGUGGGGAGCAAACAGG